Molecule: ribosomal RNA, 406 nt
Filed under: uncultured bacterium
Lineage: Bacteria
Description: partial 16S ribosomal RNA
Rfam family: Bacterial small subunit ribosomal RNA
Source: RNAcentral
AUUGAACGCUGGCGGCAGGCCUAACACAUGCAAGUCGAACGAGUGGCGGACGGGUGAGUAAUGUCUGGGAAACUGCCCGAUGGGGGGGGAUAACUCCUGGAAACGGUAGCUAAUACCCCAUACCACCUGAUAUGCCCACAUGGGAUUAGCUAGUGGGGGGGGUAACGGCUCACCUAGGCGACGAUCCCUAGCUGGUCUGAGAGGAUGACCCGCCACACUGGAACUGAGACACGGUCCAGACUCCUACGGGAGGCAGCAGUGGGGAAUAUUGCACAAUGGGCGCAAGCCUGAUGCAGCCAUGCCGCGUGUAUGAAGAAGGCCUUCGGGUUGUAAAGUACUUUCAGCGGGGAGGCGUUACCCGCAGAAGAAGCACCGGCUAACUCCGUGCCAGCAGCCGCGGUAAUUC